ACGUGGGCCCUCAACUGACUAAGAAGAUGUAGGGCUACGAACCCUUACUUCCUAUGAUGCAACUCCGAGAUUAAUUCUCGUCUUAAUCAACUAUCAACAAACUGUCCUCAGCCUGAAAAAUGGAUAGGAAGAGGGGUGAGAUUAAAUAAUCCCAGUGAGUAAACAAUUACCAUCAAAAACAUCUAAAGCCGAGUAGAUGGAGAUAAUAUAAAAACGUUAUAUCUCAAUAAUGUUCAUAACACAAAUUUCGUUUUAAUCUAUACCAAACAAUUUAUUUUCAUCAAAAUUUCUCGGCUUAUGAAUUUCUUAAACUUGGCCCCUGCCAAAAUCAUUCUCGCAGGUACCUUCGUCAAGGUAUCCCACUGAGACCGCCAAGGCUGUUCAAUGACCCAUACCCAUAAACAUGUUUUCACAUCUGACACACAACCGUUCUUUGGCGUUGGCUGAGUCUCACUCUCACGUGGUGGCCCGAACGUGAGGUGCACUCAAAUCAUACCUCAGGAGAUACUUCACCCAACAUCUCCCCCCGGAGGUAAGUAUAUAAUUGAGUUAUCGUGCUUCUCUCAUAGGUAGUCCACGGAAACCCCCACCACUGCAGUGACCGUUUAAUAUACCACCAGACCUAUAAAAAUUCCAGUAGCAUAAUAUGGCGAAUAAAAUGUAAUCCAGUCUAUCGAGACCAAUCCAAAACUAUUCAUAUAUUUCAUGCCAACCUCAAAAAAUUUAGCCAUCAUGCUACCAUAGUGUCAUAAGCCACAAUUUCAAUAACAUAUAAAAUCAUAAAUUUCAACACAGUCUCCAUAUACUCAAUUUUCCCAAAACAAUAUUUGAUUUAAAAACCAGUAUAAAUCUCUUUUUUAUUAAAAAAACAUUUUAAUUGGAAAACAUAAUUUUUAUAAUUUAAACUCACCAUUCAAUAAAAGCAUCAAACAAGUAUAAUAACUCUAGAUAUUUAAGAUGAUAAGUUGUCCACUCACAGUUCUAGGAGUCGACGUACUCCUAAUCCCAGUCUUCAAGCACAAUUUCUGUACUUUUACCAGUGUAAUUUGCUCACCACCUAUCCACAAUGUACAAUACAUAAUUCACCACAGCAAUGCUUGACCAUUAUAAAAUUAAUUCAGGCUCGGUAUAUAUGCAUGAUAUGAUAUACAACUUAUCCGACUACCGCUUAAAUGCAGUGCUGACCUAAUUCGGCCUAUUACCCGAUUAAAUCGAUAUACGCGUCCGUUUAAACUCCAAAUUAAUUUUUUUCAGUUUCUAUACCUCAAUUGCACCCAAAUUGACUUAAUGUCCCUCAGUGUAGUGCAAAUUAUCAGUCUUGAUAGCAAAUUAUGAAAAUACCCCUAAUGGGUAAAAAUUCAUAUUUUUGCUCCGAAAAUUUCCAUUAUUUUUCUAGACUCAUAAUUCAUCAUUAUUCAUCAUAAUUCCUCAAAUAAACAUCAAGAUCAUCAGCUAAUAUUCCCCUAGAAAAUUCAGCCAAUAAUGGUAAUUGAGGAAAAUGAAUUCUUUUCUUGUUGUUUUGUUUCUAAAUAUGCUAAACUAACUUAAAACACUAACAUAACUUAGAAUCAAAUUAAUCUAACAAGUUUCUCUCUCCUAACCCAUUUUUCCAGAAUUGAAUUCAUCCUCAAAUUACAUGAUUCAACCAUGAAAAAUGAUGAAAAAUACAUGGAAAUGAUAAAUCUUAAGCUAAGCUUGAAAAAUCAUACCUUUAAACACUUGAUUCCUUGAAAAAUCACACUUUUUCUUUGAAUUUUCUCACUCUAGGGUUUGUUCUUAUUUCUCUCUCUCUCCUGCUGGUUUUGGCUGAC
RNAcentral lists this long non-coding RNA (1811 nucleotides) under Theobroma cacao (cacao). Its description in RNAcentral is "long non-coding RNA (TCAC_LNC000936)". The record is from RNAcentral. Lineage: Eukaryota; Viridiplantae; Streptophyta; Magnoliopsida; Malvales; Malvaceae.